CUUCUUUUAGGUGUUUCAAUCUUCUUAGCUGCCCAUGUCACUUUUAAGCCCAUGCUUAUGCGUUUUUUGUAUCUUGGUUUCUAUGAUUUUUCACAUGAGACUUUACAUGCUUAAACAUUUGUUAUGUGUUGUUGGUUUUGAUGUCUUGAAAGUGGAUAGUGCAAGGACACAUUUCUUUUCCUUUGGAAUUUGCAGUUCUCUCAUCUUUUCAUCUGGUUUGUAGGCAUGAAAAUAUUUCGUGAGGGGCAAUUGUUUAUUGGUGCUUCAACCUCCUGUUACUUUUAAUUAUCAUCUCGAGUUGAUAGGCUUUUCAGAAUUUAAUCAUAGCAAUGGCCGACCCUAUGUCUGGGCCGCUUGAUCGACAUAUGAUACCAGGUCUGGAAAAAUCGAGCAUUGAGAUCAUUGAGGAAGAGAGGAAGACUAGGCUUGGAUCUCUGAAGAAGAAGGCAAUUAAUGCCUCCAACAAGUUCAGGAAUUCUUUUACAAAGAAGGGCCGCAGACAUAGCAGAGUGAUGUCUGUUGCAAUUGAUGAUAACCUUGAUGCAGAGGAAUUACAAGCAGUGGAUGCAUUUCGUCAAGUACUUAUCCUUGAUGAGCUACUGCCUUCUAAGCAUGAUGAUCACCAUAUGAUGCUCAGAUUUUUGAAGGCCAGAAAAUUUGACAUUGAAAAAGCAAAGCAAAUGUGGUCUGAUAUGCUCCAGUGGAGGAAGGAAUUUGGUACUGACACAAUCAUGGAGGACUUAGAGUUCCAGGAAUUAGAUGAAGUUGUGAAAUACUAUCCACAAGGAUACCAUGGGGUUGAUAAGGAAGGACGACCUGUUUACAUUGAAAAACUGGGUGAAGUUGAUGCUAACAAGCUGCUGCAAGUCACGACUUUGGAUCGAUAUGUGAAGUACCAUGUGCGGGAAUUUGAGAAAGCCUUUACUUAUAAGCUCCCAGCUUGUUCAAUUGCAGCAAAGAUGCACGUUGACCAGAGCACCACCAUUUUGGAUGUGCAAGGAGUGGGUCUCAAACACUUCAGCAAAACUGCAAGGGAUCUUAUCACUCGCAUUCAAAAGAUUGAUGGUGACAAUUAC
This 1076-nucleotide unclassified non-coding RNA is filed under the name Hevea brasiliensis (rubber tree). The record is from RNAcentral. Lineage: Eukaryota; Viridiplantae; Streptophyta; Magnoliopsida; Malpighiales; Euphorbiaceae.